CAUUGCAGGCUUCCUACACAUGAAUGCUCUACACCUCCAUCUCCAUCUCCCACAACCAAGGUAACAGCUUUGAGACUCACUAAAAGUUGGUAUGUUAUGUAAGGAAUUUCUAAAUUAAGUUUUAUACUACAUGUUAUAUCUGAUAUUAAACCACUGUAUGGUGCAUAUUACUGUACGUAACUUACUAUGCAUAGAGGACUUACUGACAUAAUUAUAUUUUGUACAUUCCAGAAUCCCAGAACCCACUGAAUGAUGUAGGCUAUGAGGCCACAUAAGACUUUGUCCAGGGUUACAUAGCAUGACAACUUUAAACUAAAAAACCAACAUUUUUCACACAACUCCAGGUUGUACUACACAUUACAAGUGUCAUCAAGGGAUAACUACAAGUAGAAGCACCAUUUUUGGAUGGAAAAAACCCUUCAGGAAAGUAUAUGUAUCAAAUGUAACAUGUAGUAGUGUACCAAAGGAUGAAAAGUAAGCUUUUUACAUAUAGUAUGUACAUACGUACAUAACUUUUUUUAUUAGGAAUUUCCAACCAAGUUUGAUUACAUGUUAUAAACCACUGUACGUAUGGUUAUACUGUAUGUAACUUACUAACAUACAUGACUUAACUUAGAUAAUUUUUUGGUACAUUCCAGAAUCCCAGAACCCCCUGAAUGAUGUAGGCUAUGGGGCCACAUAAGACUUUGUCCAGGGUUACAUAGCACGACAACUUUAAACCAAAAAAUCCCAGAACCCCCUGAAUGAUGUAGGCUAUGGGGCCACAUAAAACUUUGUCCAGGGUUACAUAGCACGACAACUUUAAACUAAAAAACUACCAGACUGGGAUUUUAGUGUACUCCAGGAUGUACUACUGUGAUGGUAAUUGCUUCAUAGCAAAGAAAGAUAAAGGAAAGGAGAACGCAUUUUCGAGAAGUUCGGCAGCAAGGAGGUUUUCGCGCCACUGUUGGAGGCGCCUAUGUUCGUGGUUGUUCCAGAAUCGGCAGGAGUGUUGUGGAUCUCGUCGUUACGUGAGAAACGCCGCGAUUUCUGAUGCAAUGCCUCGUCUAGAUUAAUCUAAGAAGUUCUAGAAAUCCCUGGAGUCGGUGACGUUCGCCGUAGGCUCCGCCCCGAGUGCUGUAUAAAUACGACGAACGAACUUUGGAGAGCAGUGAUCGUAAGAGAGAGAGAGAUCGUAAAAGAGAGAUCACCAGUUAGUCACAGAGAGCCACAGAUCAGAUUAUCAGUGAGAGAUCAGCAGCAGCAGAGAUCUUCCGUGAGGUACGAGAAAAAGGAACCGACGAAGUAUCAAUCAAAAGAAGAGUUGGCUGGCUAUUGGUCUAGUCGUCUUCAGGUGUGGUCUACCGUGUUAUCUCGACGUCGGGCAGACUUCAGAGAAGAAAAGGUCCUGUUACAGGUGUUGGGGAAUUCCUGCCUUACAAGAAGAUUAGUUUCUGCAAUACGGAGUCAAGAGGACGUCCGAAAUCGCCGAUCUACUUUUAUGAAACCACCUCUUCGAAGUGCCAAACUGUUUAGCAAGUAUUCUUAUUACCUCACUGUUUCCCCCAGUUCAUGCAGUGUAAGAUUCUGUCGUUUUAUGUAAAUAGGAGAUACCAUUCUGCAUUUACAUUUGUUAGUAAGCUUGUAAAUAAACCUUUGUUGUGUUAGUGUUUCUUUCUAUAUUCGUAUCCCCAGUUUCAACUGUUUGUGUUGAUAUUUUUUUU
Long non-coding RNA from Macrobrachium nipponense, 1703 nucleotides. RefSeq lists it as uncharacterized. The transcript is spliced from 4 exons. NCBI's taxonomy places the organism in Eukaryota, Metazoa, Arthropoda, Malacostraca, Decapoda, Palaemonidae. The record is from RefSeq and is a predicted model, not a curated record.